AGCAGCCGCGGUAAUUCCAGCUCCAAUAGCGUAUAUUAAAGUUGUUGCAGUUAAAAAGCUCGUAGUUGAAUUUCGGGAUCAGUAUGUUGGUCGUGCUUCGGUACGUACUGUCAUUACUGGUUUCUACCUUCUGAAGAACCUUGAUGUCAUUAAUUUGGUGUCUUGGGGAAUCAGGACUGUUACUUUGAAAAAAUUAGAGUGUUUAAAGCAAGCAUACGCUUGAAUACAUUAGCAUGGAAUAAUGAAAUAGGACGUUUGAUUCUAUUUUGUUGGUUUCUAGGAUCGACGUAAUGAUUAAUAGGGAUAGUUGGGGGCAUUAGUAUUCAAUUGUCAGAGGUGAAAUUCUUGGAUUUAUUGAAGACUAACUACUGCGAAAGCAUUUGCCAAGGAUGUUUUCAUUAAUCAAGAACGAAAGUUAGGGGAUCGAAGACGAUCAGAUACCGUCGUAGUCUUAACCAUAAACUAUGCCGACUAGGGAUCGGAUGAUGUUAUUUUUAAUGACUCAUU
Molecule: ribosomal RNA, 507 nt
Filed under: uncultured Glomus
Lineage: Eukaryota; Fungi; Glomeromycota; Glomeromycetes; Glomerales; Glomeraceae
Description: SSU rRNA
Rfam family: Eukaryotic small subunit ribosomal RNA
Source: RNAcentral